GGCACCGUAGCUCAGUGGUAGAGCAGGGGAAUCAUAAUCCCUUGGUCGGGGGUUCAAAUCCCUCCGGUGCUACCA
This 75-nucleotide transfer RNA is filed under the name Roseiterribacter gracilis. Its description in RNAcentral is "tRNA-Met". It matches the Rfam family "tRNA". Rfam says of the family: Transfer RNA (tRNA) molecules are approximately 80 nucleotides in length. Their secondary structure includes four short double-helical elements and three loops (D, anti-codon, and T loops). Further hydrogen bonds mediate the characteristic L-shaped molecular structure. tRNAs have two regions of fundamental functional importance: the anti-codon, which is responsible for specific mRNA codon recognition, and the 3' end, to which the tRNAs corresponding amino acid is attached (by aminoacyl-tRNA synthetases). tRNAs cope with the degeneracy of the genetic code in two manners: having more than one tRNA (with a specific anti-codon) for a particular amino acid; and 'wobble' base-pairing, i.e. permitting non-standard base-pairing at the 3rd anti-codon position. The record is from RNAcentral. Lineage: Bacteria; Pseudomonadati; Pseudomonadota; Alphaproteobacteria; Rhodospirillales; Roseiterribacteraceae.